CUAUUGCGCAAGAUAUUGCAAACAGGUUUAAAGAUGACAAGUCGAUUUACUACCACAAAGAUCCUAUUACCUUGAGACCAGCAGGCCGCUUGUACGAUAAAUAUUACAACACAUUGAAGAGAUUGAGGAAAUCCGGUGAAUUAGUGGACCCAGAAAGUUCAACUCCUGAGGCAUCACCGACAGAAGAAUAUACAUUUACUUUCGAGGAUGAAAAAUGUAACGCCACCACAAUAGCUUUUGUUUUGUAAUUAUUUCAUAUUUUUUUAUGCAGCUGCCUAUGACUGGCUCAAACUUUUUGAUUCGCCGUGGAGCACAGUUGAAGCAAAUUGGAAAAAACCUUCAAAAUCAGACGACAAGAAAUUUUGAACUCAAGUGGUAGCACAUCAGCGAAAACUUUACGGGCCUGGAAACUUUUUUCCCAUUCAUGUGGAUACAAUCUGAUUGAUAUUGACUUCAAUGCUCUACAUCAGAAUUGCUCACAGCUAACAGAGAAAUGGCAAGGUUUUAGAACAAAAAU
Long non-coding RNA from Rhagoletis pomonella (apple maggot), 517 nucleotides. RefSeq lists it as uncharacterized. The transcript is spliced from 3 exons. The record is from RefSeq and is a predicted model, not a curated record. NCBI's taxonomy places the organism in Eukaryota, Metazoa, Arthropoda, Insecta, Diptera, Tephritidae.